Molecule: ribosomal RNA, 254 nt
Filed under: uncultured bacterium
Lineage: Bacteria
Description: partial 16S ribosomal RNA
Rfam family: Bacterial small subunit ribosomal RNA
Source: RNAcentral
GACGAACCGUGCGAUCGUUAUUCGGAAUCACUGGGCUUAAAGCGCGUGUAGGCGGGCCGCCACGUCGGCUGCUGAAAUCCCCCGGCUCAACCGGGGAAGUGGCACCGAUACGAGCGGCCUCGAGGGGGGUAGGGGGGUCUGGAAUUUCCGGUGUAGCGGUGAAAUGCGUAGAUAUCGGAAGGAACACCAGUUGCGAAAGCGGCUUCCUGGUCCGACACCGACGUUCAGGCACGAAAGCGUGGGGAGCAAACAGG